GCAAGGCGAUUCCUAAGCAAACUGCAUACCAAAAUACAAAGCCAAACAGAGAAUCAGGGGCAAUCAUGAGAGGCAACGACCUCGAGAAUUGACCGCUCACACUAAACCAACUCAGCUGACCUAGAGAAAGGUCCAAUCAACAAAGAGCCCGCAAAACGCUCGAAAGAAGACAGCCCAUAAAUAUUCAGGGGCAAAAAACAUACACAAGAGUCCAACGCUCAGGCAAAAAUAAUAAAAAGGCAAGAGAGGGAUACUUUCGACAGGAGCAGUU
Molecule: long non-coding RNA, 271 nt
Filed under: Manihot esculenta (cassava)
Lineage: Eukaryota; Viridiplantae; Streptophyta; Magnoliopsida; Malpighiales; Euphorbiaceae
Description: long non-coding RNA (MESC_LNC004959)
Source: RNAcentral